CGGCUCCUACGGGAGGCAGCAGUCGAGAAUCUUUCGCAAUGCCCGCAAGGGUGACGAAGCGACGCCGCGUGGGUGAGGAAGGCCUUCGGGUUGUAAAGCCCUGUCAGGAGUUAUGAAAUGUAGGUGCGCUAAUAUCGUGCUUAUUUGACAAAGGCUCCAAAGGAAGCCACGGCUAACUCUGUGCCAGCAGCCGCGGUAAUACAGAGGUGGCGAGCGUUGUUCGGAAUUAUUGGGCGUAAAGAGCACGUAGGUGGGUUUGCAAGUCAGAUGUGAAAGCCUUCUGUUCAACGGAAGAAUUGCAUCUGAAACUGCUAAUCUUGAGUAUAGGAGGGGAGAAUGGAACUUCUGGUGGAGCGGUGAAAUGCGUAGAUAUCAGAAGGAACGCCGGCGGCGAAAGCGAUUCUCUGGCCUAUUACUGACACUCAGUGUGCGAAAGCUAGGGGAGCAAACGGGAUUAGAUACCCCGGUAGUCCAAGCC
Molecule: ribosomal RNA, 478 nt
Filed under: uncultured bacterium
Lineage: Bacteria
Description: bacterial SSU rRNA
Rfam family: Bacterial small subunit ribosomal RNA
Source: RNAcentral